Molecule: ribosomal RNA, 274 nt
Filed under: uncultured bacterium
Lineage: Bacteria
Description: partial 16S ribosomal RNA
Rfam family: Bacterial small subunit ribosomal RNA
Source: RNAcentral
AUACGAAAGGUGCAAGCGUUGUUCGGAUUUACUGGGCGUAAAGAGAGUGUAGGUUGUUUAUUAAGUCGGAUGUGAAAUCCCGGGGCUCAACCUCGGAACUGCAUUCGAUACUGAUAGGCUAGAGUUUGGGAGGGGUAAGCGGAAUUCCGUGUGUCGCAGUGAAAUGCGUAGAUAUACGGAGGAACACCUGAGGCGAAGGCGGCUUACUGGACCAAUACUGACACUGAGACUCGAAAGCGUGGGUAGCAAACAGGAUUAGAAACCCUAGUAGUCC